This 1738-nucleotide long non-coding RNA is filed under the name Anas platyrhynchos platyrhynchos (common mallard). Its description in RNAcentral is "lncRNA (ENSAPLG00000023695.1)". The record is from RNAcentral. Lineage: Eukaryota; Metazoa; Chordata; Aves; Anseriformes; Anatidae.
AUGGAGAUGUCAAGUUUUUUGUUAAAAAACAUUUCAUUAAAUAAAUGUAAAUAUUUUUUAUGUCUCACCCUUGCAAAGAAGAAAGCAGAACUGGAAGAUCUCCACAGAAUGUCGGCAGGUCCUUUACCUACAGGUCCCAAAAUAGGAGACAUGUACAGUUCCAUCUUCAGCCUGAGGAGGCUUAAAGAAUAUUUCCCAUUUUCCCAGGGAGAGCCCUAAGCACCAGGGCAUGGAAGACAUCGUCCUGCUUUCUGGCUGAAGCUGAAAACAAGAUUAAGUCAAAGAAUUUAUAGAAGAGAGAGGGUGAGCCUGUAACGGUUAGGAGAUAAGGCUCUUUGGGACAAAGAAGGAAUUCAGCCUGGGUCCGAGUGCUGCCCUCUCAGCUCUGGAGGUGAGCCCAGCACCCAACAGGCUCUGCUGGAAAACACCCAUGGGGCAAGGAGUGAGCACAGGGGGAGUGCCACAGGAACACACCUACACCUUGACUCAUCCUCACCAGCUGACAGACAGGCUCAGAGAAGCCAUGUGAAGUUGAGUGCAAGUUCAUUUGCUUGUGACCUGGGACAGAGCAAAACCUUUGCCUCAGUUCUCAGUCUUUACGGCCCAAGGAGUGAUAGGCACUGAAGGACUUGCACCCACUUUUGACUGCAGCUGGCAUGGUACUGUGCAGGCAAAGAAUAAGAGACAUUUGCUCUCUGCAACACACUGCCUAGAAAUCUGGCAGGUCCAAAAUAACCUUGUAUUUCCAUGAAUAGGGGGGGUGCAGCCAUGAGCCUUCAUAACAGAGUGCACAUUUUAUUUGAAUGCUGCUGGACAGAUUUUUGCUGAGAUUUCAAAUGAAAACCAGUUGGAAUUUUUGGUCUUUUCUGCCCCUGGAAAGCCCAGCUUGGCUGUGCAGAGAGUGUGGACUGUGCAUUCUGGCCCUUCUGCGCCCUCAUCCCCAUAACACAGAUUGUGCCUUAAAACCCACAAUAUAUCCUUUUAUCUGAAUACAAUGCAUGGGACUACGCGGGACGGAGCUGCUGGUGGAAGAGGUCAUGAAAUUCCACUGCACUAGCAUUUUGAAAGGGAAUUCUAUAAAAAAAAAUAGCCUGUGACACGGCUGUGGAGAGAAAUCCUGCACUCUGUCAAUGUCUUGGCAUGGAGCUAGCAGGGACUAUCGGACUGGACACAAGUGGAGAGUGGGCUUUUCUUGGCCUUGGCCACAAUGAGUGUGGUUGUCCAGGGAAAGUUUGUGGGGGAGGCUGAGGGGAUAGCAGAAGACAGACAUGUUAAAGGGAAGUGUGUUCCUACAUAAAGAGACAUUGUAACAUAUGUUAAGCAAAAAAAAAAAAAAAAAAAAAAAAAAAAGUCCAGGGCGGUGAAAGGGUUUCCCCAGAAAGGGGGUUGAGUAGAACAUAGUUUUGGCUUACCAUUAUACAUGUAUGCUAUUGUGUCUUUGUAGGCACAGGGCACUCACACUAGACCAGCCUUUGUGUCAAAUCCAGCUACAAUGCCGGGGUUCUCCAAGCCGCCUCUCAUCUGCAAAUCAGUUUGGGUUUGUUUCUACCCAUGCAGCUGCUAUUUUGUAUUUAGUCUAAUUUUAGCACAAGUACCAACAGCUGCAGAUGUAAAUGGUCCCAUUUGGUAUCUAGUGUGUCUGGAGUGCGAAGUGGCCUGAGGUACGCUGGGUUCCCCUGGCCUGUACAACUUAAAAAGUAGAUGAGUAAUAAACAGUUUCUGCAAAGUGUAUUGUGCA